Molecule: ribosomal RNA, 453 nt
Filed under: uncultured bacterium
Lineage: Bacteria
Description: bacterial SSU rRNA
Rfam family: Bacterial small subunit ribosomal RNA
Source: RNAcentral
GAUGAACGCUGGCGGCGUGCCUAAUACAUGCAAGUCGAGCGGCAGCACGGUCUUCGGACUGGUGGCGAGCGGCGGACGGCUGAGUAACGCGUAGGAAUAUACCCCAAAGUGAGGGAUAACUGCCCGAAAGGGUGGCUAAUACCGCAUGUGGUCUUCGGACUAAAGCCUUCGGGCGCUUUGGGAAUAGCCUGCGUAAGAUUAGCUAGUUGGUGAGGUAAUGGCUCACCAAGGCGACGAUCUUUAGCUGGUCUGAGAGGAUGACCAGCCAGACUGGAACUGAGACACGGUCCAGACUCCUACGGGAGGCAGCAGUAGGGAAUUUUCCACAGUGGGCGAAAGCCUGAUGGAGCAACGCCGCGUGCAGGAUGAAAGGCCCUCGGGUCGUAAACUGCUUUUAUGUGCGAAGAAUAUGACGGUAACACAAUGAAUAAGGGUCGGCUAACUACGUGCCAG